RNAcentral lists this non-coding RNA (1145 nucleotides) under Caenorhabditis japonica. RNAcentral describes it as "Eukaryotic small subunit ribosomal RNA". It matches the Rfam family "Eukaryotic small subunit ribosomal RNA", at positions 135 to 1314 of the family's 1831-position model. Lineage: Eukaryota; Metazoa; Nematoda; Chromadorea; Rhabditida; Rhabditidae. The record is from Rfam by way of RNAcentral.
UGAAAAGGAUAACUGCGGAAAUUCUGGAGCUAAUACAUGCGACUAUACUCCAACGCAAGGCGGGGUGCAAUUAUUAGAACAGACCAAACGUUUUCGGACGUUGUUUGUUGACUCUGAAUACCGUCGUUUACUGUCAGUUUCGACUGACUCUAUCCGAGAAGGGUGUCUGCCCUUUCAACUAGAUGGUAAUCUAUUGGACUACCAUGGUUGUUACGGGUAACGGAGAAUUAGGGUUCGACUCCGGAGAGGGAGCCUUAGAAACGGCUACCACGUCCAAGGAAGGCAGCAGGCGCGAAACUUAUCCACUGUUGAGUAUGAGAUAGUGACUAAAAAUAUAAAGACUCAUCCUUUUGGAUGAGUUAUUUCAAUGAGUUGAAUAUAAAUUAUUCUUCGAGUAGCAAGGAGAGGGCAAGUCUGGUGCCAGCAGCCGCGGUAAUUCCAGCUCUCCUAGUGUAUCUCGUUAUUGCUGCGGUUAAAAAGCUCGUAGUUGGAUCUAGGUUACGUGCCGCAGUUCGCAAUUUGCGUUAACUGUGGUCGUGACUUCUAAUUUGCUGGUUUGAGGUUGGGUUCGCCCUUCAACUGCCAGCAGGUUUACCUUGAAUAAAUCAGAGUGCUCAAUACAGGCGCUUGCUUGAAUAGCUCAUCAUGGAAUAAUGAAACAGGACUUCGGUUCUUUUUGUUGGAUUCUAGAAUUGAUCUAAUGGUUAAGAGGGACAAACCGGGGGCAUUCGUAUCAUUACGCGAGAGGUGAAAUUCGUGGACCGUAGUGAGACGCCCAAUAGCGAAAGCAUUUGCCAAGAAUGUCUUCAUUAAUCAAGAACGAAAGUCAGAGGUUCGAAGGCGAUUAGAUACCGCCCUAGUUCUGACCGUAAACGAUGCCAUCUCGCGAUUCGGAGGGUUCAUGCCCUACCGAGGAGCUACCCGGAAACGAAAGUCUUUCGGUUCCGGGGGUAGUAUGGUUGCAAAGCUGAAACUUAAAGAAAUUGACGGAAGGGCACCACAAGGCGUGGAGCUUGCGGCUUAAUUUGACUCAACACGGGAAAACUCACCCGGUCCGGACACUAUUAGGACUGACAGAUUGAAAGCUCUUUCUCGAUUUGGUGGUUGGUGGUGCAUGGCCGUUCUUAGUUGGUGGAGUGAUUUGU